Long non-coding RNA from Mastomys coucha (southern multimammate mouse), 756 nucleotides. RefSeq lists it as uncharacterized. NCBI's taxonomy places the organism in Eukaryota, Metazoa, Chordata, Mammalia, Rodentia, Muridae. The record is from RefSeq and is a predicted model, not a curated record. The transcript has 4 exons.
GGCAGCCAGAGAAGACGGGAUGGCGGAGGACCAACGGGGUUACACGGUGGUAGAGGCAGGAUCCGAAGCUGGAGAAACCAUUCAAGGUCCUUGGGAAACAAAAAUGCUUAAAAAUAAACUUAAGUCGCUCAGUUCACAGAGGGAUACACACAACACCUCAAGAAUAAAGGCAUCAUUAUUUCCAUUUUGUAAAUGAGAGACUACAGCUCAGAAAGUUGUAUGAUAAUCCUUGGCUGUCUAUGUAUUCUGAAGAUUGAACAUUGAAAAGCAAGAAGUUGAAUAUUUAUAGCAAGGAGAGAGAUGGGACCUGCUACACAUUGGAAGUCUCGGGUAGGUGCUUGGCAUUCCAGGGAAAAGCUUUGCACUUGGAGAUGAGGUAUGUUAUGUGCACCGUGACAUAUGCCUGAGGAUCUCCACCUGCUACACAGUAGGAUCUGCUACAGCAUAUUCUGCAGUUGGUAGAACUCGAUGUCAGCAAAAGGAAGGACUCUCCACCUUCAGGUCCUUGAACUUCCCCAUGUGGAGGCCAGGUGGUUGAGUUCCUGAAGAAUGUACAAUGGGAAAUGGGGGUUACAUUUUGGUGAGAACAGUUCAUGGUACCAAUGGAGUGUAAAAUAUCCUGUUUCUGCCUAGGAGGAAUUUACCCUUGAUUGUUCUGCAGGCCAAGGCUGUGAAUGAGCAAAGGCCAGUGUGUGCUUCUGCCUUUCACUAGACAAAAUUUAUUUCAAGUACUUUAUAAUAAAAAGUCCAAGGUCA